GUAUUCCUGGGGUGUUCGAUAUUCCUGAUAUUUUGAACCUACAUCAAUUUAUAUGGGAAGCUCAUAUUUUCAUGAGGAUGUCAAGCCAUCAUAAGCAGUGGAAGGCAGAGACAUGAGUGCGGCAACCCACCUAGCAUGUGCUAGGAGUCAAAAUUCAGGAAACGGCAUUUUGGGGUAUAU
Non-coding RNA from Clostridium sp. CAG:411, 180 nucleotides. It matches the Rfam family "6S / SsrS RNA". Rfam says of the family: E. coli 6S RNA was the first non coding RNA to be sequenced, but its function was unknown until recently. It consists of 184 nucleotides that fold into an extended hairpin structure with a large single-stranded internal bulge. NCBI's taxonomy places the organism in Bacteria, Bacillati, Bacillota, Clostridia, Eubacteriales, Clostridiaceae. The record is from Rfam.